UGCGGGAUGGUGUAAGGGUAACAUAUGAGGUUUUCGCCCUCGUGCUGCUGGUUCAAAUCCAGCUCCCGCCUCCAA
Molecule: transfer RNA, 75 nt
Filed under: Inoviridae sp.
Lineage: Floreoviria; Loebvirae; Hofneiviricota; Faserviricetes; Tubulavirales; Inoviridae
Description: tRNA-Glu
Rfam family: tRNA
About the family: Transfer RNA (tRNA) molecules are approximately 80 nucleotides in length. Their secondary structure includes four short double-helical elements and three loops (D, anti-codon, and T loops).
Source: RNAcentral